UCCGUAGGUGAACCUGCGGAAGGAUCAUUACUGAUUUGCUUAAUUGCACCACAUGUGUUUUUCUUUGAAACAAACUUGCUUUGGCGGUGGGCCCAGCCUGCCGCCAGAGGUCUAAACUUACAACCAAUUUUUUAUCAACUUGUCACACCAGAUUAUUACUAAUAGUCAAAACUUUCAACAACGGAUCUCUUGGUUCUCGCAUCGAUGAAGAACGCAGCGAAAUGCGAUACGUAAUAUGAAUUGCAGAUAUUCGUGAAUCAUCGAAUCUUUGAACGCACAUUGCGCCCUCUGGUAUUCCGGAGGGCAUGCCUGUUUGAGCGUCGUUUCUCCCUCAAACCGCUGGGUUUGGUGUUGAGCAAUACGACUUGGGUUUGCUUGAAAGACGGUAGUGGUAAGGCGGGAUCGCUUUGACAAUGGCUUAGGUCUAACCAAAAACAUUGCUUGCGGCGGUAACGUCCACCACGUAUAUCUUCAAACUUUGACCUCAAAUCAGGUAGGAACUACCCGCUGAACUUAAGCAUAUCAAUAAGCGGAGGAAAAG
RNAcentral lists this ribosomal RNA (541 nucleotides) under Candida albicans. RNAcentral's name for it is "eukaryotic LSU rRNA". The stretch from base 170 to 323 matches the Rfam family "5.8S ribosomal RNA". Lineage: Eukaryota; Fungi; Ascomycota; Pichiomycetes; Serinales; Debaryomycetaceae. The record is from RNAcentral.